AAUGUGAUAAAGAACACCAUCCUAGCCUUUUACCUCGUUGCAGCCGAGAAAGCAACAUGGGUCACCAGCAGCUCUACUGGAGCCAUCCGAGAAAAUUCGGCCAGCGUUCUCGCUCUUGCCGAGUCUGCUCAAACUGGCACGGUCUCAUCCGGAAAUACGGCCUCAAUAUGUGCCGCCAGUGUUUCCACCAGUAUGCGAAGGACAUCGGCUUCAUUAAAUUGGACUAACCGAACUUCCUCAGAUGGCUCAUCCAGCACAGCAACCUUAGGUGGAAAUAAUACUAGCUCUUUGUAUAUAAAAUAAAAGUUUUCAAAACUUCAAAAAAAAAAAAAAAGAA
RNA transcript from Capra hircus (goat), 337 nucleotides. It is a transcript of the gene named 40S ribosomal protein S29 pseudogene, with no coding region annotated. The transcript has a single exon. The record is from RefSeq and is a predicted model, not a curated record. Lineage: Eukaryota; Metazoa; Chordata; Mammalia; Artiodactyla; Bovidae.